Molecule: ribosomal RNA, 186 nt
Filed under: uncultured bacterium
Lineage: Bacteria
Description: partial 16S ribosomal RNA
Rfam family: Bacterial small subunit ribosomal RNA
Source: RNAcentral
CUGCAUGAAGCUGGAAUUGCUAGUAAUCGCGGAUCAGCAUGCCGCGGUGAAUACGUUCCCGGGCCUUGUACACACCGCCCGUCACACCAUGAGAGUCGGGAACACCCGAAGUCCGUAGUCUAACCGCAAGGAGGGCGCGGCCGAAGGUGGGUCCGGUAAGUUGGGGUGAAGUCGUAACAAGGUACC